UUAGUCAUGUUUUUGUAUGAUGUAUUUAGCGAUAUCAUUACGAGUCUAGACAUUUAAACAUUCAGAUGAGAAAUAAGUACGUUUAUCUAAAGUAAAAUAGUUAUUAUAAAAAACGUUAGUGAAGGAAAGGAGAUCGAUAAAGAGAGAUCAGCAUCAUGAAGGAGCACAAGACUUUGUUGGUCAUGAUUUCGGUACUCAGUUGGUGUGCUGUGCAUUGUAUAGAAGAAAAACUGUUGUACUCAACUUAUGGCUAUGUCAAAGAGAUAGAUUUGAAAAGUGGAGAAGUUAAAGUACUUCUUAAUGUAGCAGGAAACUAUGUUUUUUCGUUAGCCUACGAUUAUGACGAAAGAUAUCUGUAUAUUCCAAGAAGGAACGGAGAUAUUAUAAAAUUUCCUUAUCCAAAUAAUCAAACUGUUCAGUUUGAAACUGUUGUUUCUGCAAACGGUCCAUUGGGUAUAGCAUUUGACUCAGUGAACCACCAUCUAUAUUGGACAGAAGAUGGAAAAGGAAAGAUAAUGAGAUGUAAUGCAGAUGGAACUAAUAAAACAACUAUUUUUGACGAAACAGAACCUGGUGUACUUUCAAUUGAUAUAGAAAAUAGGAUCAAUAUAACGGAAAGAUAUACAGAAUAACAUUUGACGGAAAAGAAAGACGAGUUAUAUAUAACCAGUCUUUACUGACGUAUGGAAUACAAGUAGACGUUAUCGAUAAGCGACUUUAUUGGAAUGAAUAUUCGACUGGCGACUUGAAAUCUGCUUGGUAUAAUGGAUCGGAUGUCCAAACCGUAGUAAGCACCAAUUUGCGUAACAAUUGGGGCCUUGAUACCAAUGAUGAUUUUAUCUUCUAUUCAAGCUCGGUUUCAAUUGUUAAGAUUGCCAAAUCUGUAGGGCACACUCUGACUGUUGUUCACAGAGAUACAGCACAGAUUUAUGGUGUUUUGUUCUAUAAGCACCAAGGUAAGAAUACAUGUCUGACCGAAUUGUUUUAAAAUUUAUCAUUUCAUUGAAAAACAAUAUUACGCUGAAAGAAUAUAUGCAUUAGUUGAUAUCUCUUACAUAUUAUAAUGAAUUUCUACAAAUCAUAAUAUGUUUUUUUUUAUACUUUAGCAGCUAAACGAUUCAUUCUAAAUUAAAGAAUACGUAAAUAGUAUAGUUGCAAUCGUUUUUGUUUGAUGCUUUUUAAUGUAUGUUAAUAUUUGCAUGAAAGUGAACACCUUAUAAUGAUCUAAAGCCAGUAAACAAGUGUGACAAUGUUCUGAAGUUUUGUAUCCUAUAUUUUUUAAAACAUUGUAGUGUGUGUUAUAUCUAUUCGAUUUUAAGAUGAUUAUGUUAUGCUGGUUCCACGUGUUUUAAUAACUAACGCUUUGAAGCUUUUAUUUGUUUUAAAACAAAUGCUUUCCUAAUUGCAGAUACUUGCUAAUAUACGUUCAACUGUUUUGGUUUUCAUAGAUUGUGACAAUGUAUAUUUCACCAAAUGUUAUUUUUAUGUUGUUAAGAAUAUUUAAAGCCACAUCAUAAUGAGUUUAAAAAGCUUGUUUGUUGUCAAAACAUUGUAAUGCUAUUAACAUUGAACUUUUGAUAACAAUAUUUAUGAAAUCAUAUAUUGAAUUACCCCUUCUAGAAUUGUGUUUGAUGUGAAACGCUGUCAUAAAACUUAUGUUAUGGCGAGAUUCACUAAGUUUGAAAAAAUGGACUUCGUUAUAUUGUGAACAUGUGUUUUAUUAAAAUCUGAACAACACACUGAAAAUAGCGGUGUACAUUUUACAUUGUUUUUAUUGCGUUUUGUAUAUUUUAGGGAAAGACUUUGACGAAAACGAACGAAUGUCUUAUACUUAUAUAGAACGAGUACAAACAAGAAUAAUGGAUUUAUACUGUAAAAUGGGUUGUUUUGGUUGUAUUCUUUACUUGUUCAAAUUAUUAUAUGUCAUUGAUACUUUUGAUAUGCAAAUUAUUAUUUACAAUUACGAUAACUUUUUUGUUUGCAAAUAGCCAUACUGGCAUACACGACACAUUGUUUUUGUUGUUAAUACAAGGCAUCUCCGAGUAAAUAAAAGCAAUGUGUUUAAAAUUAAUUAGUAAAAACAAUACAUUAUACUUUUAUUGAUAAAUGUAGAGUUUGUGUAAUGAUAAGACAUAUGUUUUAAUGUACCCGUAAGAGUUUUCUUCUUUUGAGAAUUAUAUAUUUUCAUUAUAUCUAUUUUAAGUUAAUUUACAUUAUUUUUUUUUUGUAGAAUUCUGAUUGGUUUGAGCAUGAUUUAAAACCAGAAAAUCAAACAGGCUACAAAUGAUUUUAUAUAUGCACUUAAUACAAUAAAACGAAAGUAAAUAAUAAUGUGCUGUGCUGAAUAUUCAUAUACAAUAUUAGCCAUUUGAUGAAAAGCGAACUUCAAUAACUAAACAAAAGUUGAGGUUGUUAUGUAGUUUCGUUUGGAAUGAAAAUCAUCUCUAAUAAUGUAGACAAAUUUGUCACACCAUAGUGUCAACAUAAUGAUGCAAGCUAUUGAUCUUGGAAUUUAAUAAACAUUACCUUACCAAGAACUAGGCUGUAUCUACAUUGGUACAACUACACAGAUUUAUUAUAAUUUUGAAAGAUAAGAAAUAUUAUAGACAUGACAUAAUGGUAACAGAGAUCUGAUAGAGCAAUCCCUAGUCCGGUACUCUACUCUUCAACCUUAUUUCUCACAAAUGAACAAACCUUAAUUAAAUAUUUAUCUGAAAUGUCUUUAAAACGUCCUAUAGUACACAUUUCCUGAUAACUAUCAACUAUUUUAUCUCACAUUAAUUUCAAGAUAUAUAUCAUUUCAUACAUGUAUUUCAAGUUAAAUUUGUGAAUAUCUUGUAAACAUUGAAUAUAAACAUAUAAAUUAUGUUGUUUAAAAAUAUAUUCUAGAUGACGAAUUCUUCAUUUUUGCUGUUUUUUCAUGUUGUUCUUUAAAAAUGGAUUUGUUUUCAUUGCAUUAGUAAAUGACUCAUUCGGCAGGCUUCUCAAUUGCGAGUUAUUACAAGGAAUCGUUACGUUUUUAGUUCAGAAGCAGACACAUGGCUUAACUAUUAGUGUUGUACUAACAAGAAAACAGUCUUAAGAUUAUAAAAAAAAAAAUUCGGGUCUCAUCUUUUUUUGAAUAGAUACGAAAUGUUAUUCAAAGAUAUUUUUAUCGGAAAGAUUAAUCAUCAAACAAUGUAAUUUUACAUAUAUGCAACGUUUGUUUUGUAUGCUACUAUAUAUACCCAGUUCAUAUAUUAGUCUCAAACUUAUUCAAAGGCAAUGAUGGUAAAUAAAU
Molecule: RNA transcript, 3280 nt
Organism: Mytilus californianus (California mussel)
Lineage: Eukaryota; Metazoa; Mollusca; Bivalvia; Mytilida; Mytilidae
Gene name: low-density lipoprotein receptor-related protein 8-like
Exons: 6
Source: RefSeq, a predicted model, not a curated record